UACGGAGGGUGCAAGCGUUGUUCGGAAUCAUUGGGCGUAAAGCGCGUGUAGGCGGCUUGGCAAGUCAGUUGUGAAAGCCCGGGGCCCAACCCCGGAAUUGCAUCUGAAACUGCCUAGCUAGAGUCCCGGAGAGGAAGGCAGAAUUCCCGGUGUAGGGGUGAAAUCCGUAGAUAUCGGGAGGAAUACCAGCGGCGAAGGCGGCCUCCUGGACGGUGACUGACGCUGAGACGCGAAAGCGUGGGGAGCAAACAGG
RNAcentral lists this ribosomal RNA (253 nucleotides) under uncultured bacterium. RNAcentral describes it as "partial 16S ribosomal RNA". It matches the Rfam family "Bacterial small subunit ribosomal RNA", at positions 524 to 776 of the family's 1533-position model. The record is from RNAcentral.